GAGAGGGGGGCACGGGGGUUACCGGGGGGAACGGAGACAGGCGUCGUGAUGAGAAUGCUGAGGGCACGUGGGGUAAUGGGGGCGUAACGGGGGUGACCGAGACGGGAGGAGUACCGGGGAUAGCGGGGGGGAACGGGAAAUGACGGGGAACGGGCGGUACCGGGGCACGGGGAUAACGGGGCAGGGGGCAGUGGGGAGUGGGAAUGGAGAUGUGGCGGGGCAGGAGGGUGUUAGGAACACGGACGGGGUUAACGGGAACGGGGCGUACCGGGGAUAGGGAAUGGAGGUGUGAUGGGGCAGGAGGGUAUCGGGGACACGGGGAUAACGGGGAUAACGGGAACGGGGGGUACCGGGGAUAGGGAAUGGAGGUGUGAUGGGGCAGGAAGGUAUCGGGGACACGGGGAUAACGGGGUUAACGGGAACGUGGGGUACCGGGGAUAGGGAAUGGAGGUGUGAUGGGGCAGGAAGGUAUCGGGGACACGGGGAUAACGGGGAUAACGGGAACGGGGGGUACCGGGGAUAGGGAAUGGAGGUGUGAUGGGGCAGGAAGGUAUCGGGGACACGGGGAUAACGGGAGCUGCGGGGCAGCUGCGCUGGGGGAACGGGGGCACAGCACGGGCCUGAGCUCAGCCCUGGGUCUGGCCCCGGUGCCGGUGCCGGUGCUGAGCCGGCCCCGGG
Long non-coding RNA from Serinus canaria (Common canary), 678 nucleotides. RefSeq lists it as uncharacterized. The record is from RefSeq and is a predicted model, not a curated record. NCBI's taxonomy places the organism in Eukaryota, Metazoa, Chordata, Aves, Passeriformes, Fringillidae. The transcript is spliced from 3 exons.